Molecule: ribosomal RNA, 121 nt
Filed under: Helianthus annuus (common sunflower)
Lineage: Eukaryota; Viridiplantae; Streptophyta; Magnoliopsida; Asterales; Asteraceae
Source: RNAcentral
GGUUGCGAUCAUACCAGCACUAAUGCACCGGAUCCCAUCCGAACUCCGCAGUUAAGCGUGCUUGGGCGAGAGUAGUACUAUGAUGGGUGACCCCCUGGGAAGUCCUCGUGUUGCAACCCUC